UAGGGAAUCUUCGGCAAUGGACGAAAGUCUGACCGAGCAACGCCGCGUGAGUGAAUAAGGUUUUCGGAUCGUAAAACUCUGUUGUUAGAGAAGAACAAGGACGUUAGUAACUGAACGUCCCCUGACGGUAUCUAACCAGAAAGCCACGUCUAACUACGUGCCAGCAGCCGCGGUAAUACGUAGGUGGCCAGCGUUGUCCGGAUUUAUUGGGCGUAAAGCGAGCGCAGGCGGUUUCUUAAGUCUGAUGUGAAAGCCCCCGGCUCAACCGGGGAGGGUCAUUGGAAACUGGGAGGCUUGAGUGCGGAAGAGGAGAGUGGAAUUCCAUGUGUAGCGGUGAAAUGCGUAGAUAUAGGGAGGAACACCAGUGGCGAGGGCGGCUCUCUGGUCUGUAACUGACGCUGAGGAUCGAAAGCGUGGGGAGCAAACAGG
Molecule: ribosomal RNA, 429 nt
Filed under: Gemmatimonadota bacterium
Lineage: Bacteria; Pseudomonadati; Gemmatimonadota
Description: Gemmatimonadetes bacterium partial 16S ribosomal RNA
Rfam family: Bacterial small subunit ribosomal RNA
Source: RNAcentral